CGGGAGGCAGCAGUGAGGAAUAUUGGUCAAUGGAGGCAACUCUGAACCAGCCAUGCCGCGUGAAGGAUGACGGCCCUAUGGGUUGUAAACUUCUUUUGAAUAGGAAGAAACUUAUCUACGUGUAGAUAACUGACGGUACUAUUAGAAUAAGGAUCGGCUAACUCCGUGCCAGCAGCCGCGGUAAUACGGAGGAUCCAAGCGUUAUCCGGAUUCAUUGGGUUUAAAGGGUCCGUAGGCGGGUCUUUAAGUCAGUGGUGAAAGCCGACAGCUCAACUGUCGAACUGCCAUUGAUACUGGAGACCUUGAGUACAAAUGAAGUAGGCGGAAUGAGUCAUGUAGCGGUGAAAUGCAUAGAUAUGACUCAGAACACCGAUUGCGAAGGCAGCUUACUAACAUGUAACUGACGCUGAGGGACGAAAGCGUGGGGAGCGAACAGGAUUAGAUACCCUGGUAGUCCACGCCGUAAACGAUCAUCACUCGCUGUUGGCGAUAUACUGUCAGCGGCCAAGCGAAAGUAUUAAGUGAUGCACCUGGGGAGUACGCCGGCAACGGUGAAACUCAAAGGAAUUGACGG
RNAcentral lists this ribosomal RNA (574 nucleotides) under uncultured bacterium. Its description in RNAcentral is "bacterial SSU rRNA". It matches the Rfam family "Bacterial small subunit ribosomal RNA", at positions 342 to 916 of the family's 1533-position model. The record is from RNAcentral.